This 754-nucleotide long non-coding RNA is filed under the name Equus caballus (horse). Its description in RNAcentral is "lncRNA (ENSECAG00000055866.1)". The record is from RNAcentral. Lineage: Eukaryota; Metazoa; Chordata; Mammalia; Perissodactyla; Equidae.
GGGGUUAUGCUGGAGGUGAACGGAGAUAAUGCAGGCCUGGCAUGUGUGGUGGGCUUGUCAAGUGUGUUGAAUCGUUUUGGGAUUUUGUUUGCUGCGUGUUUGCUUGCUCUGGGAUUUCAUCUGGGAUCCUGCAGGAAGUCAUCCUCUCUCCUUAGAUUUUAUGCAUACCUUUGUUGGCUACACACGGCCCUUGGGACACCAUGCGCUAUUAACCCUCUCUGCAAUCCUGCAGAUCAAGCCCUGUUGGCUGCCCUGCUGACCCUUCUGCUUAUUAUGGGACUUAGUAUGCUGCAUUAAUAAUGAAAACACUUUGUGAAGAAAUGCUGUGCUGAGAACCAAGCUUAGUGCCCUGCGAAGACCACUGGACCAGAAAGCAGAAGACUGGAGUUGUAGCUGAGGUCUGCAACAGGAUGGAGACACACACAGCAGUCUGUUUGGCUUCUCUGAGCUCAUGUCUCUCCUGGGUUAGAUCACAGGAUUUUAUGAUGCUCGUCAGCAUCAAAAUCCUGUGCAUCUUUGUUUUUUAACCUCACAGUAUCCAUGUAAAAGUUACUGGCUAAGAAAUCAUAUUUGCAUUGGAAGUGGAAAGCCUAAAUUACAUGCCCAAAAGCAACAGGAAAAUAAAUUAUAACUUAACAAGAAUUAGGUUUGAUUUCUUCCCAAGUUCUAAUUUUCUGUUACUCUGGUAGGAGAGUGAUAUCUAGGGAUCACGGAUUCUCAGGGGUAUAUGGCACCCAACAAUUCAACUCAAUUC